UGGGGAAUAUUGCACAAUGGGCGAAAGCCUGAUGCAGCAACGCCGCGUGAAGGAAGAAGGGUUUCGGCUCGUAAACUUCUAUCAAUCGGGAAGAAAGAAAUGACGGUACCGAAAUAAGAAGCCCCGGCUAACCACGUGCCAGCAGCCGCGGUAAUACGAAGGGGGCAAGCGUUGUUCGGAAUUACUGGGCGUAAAGCGCACGCAGGCGGCGUGACGCGUCAGAAGUGAAAUCCCCGGGCUCAACCUGGGAACUGCUUUUGAAACGGUCAUGCUUGAAUCAUGGAGAGGGUAGCGGAAUUCCGAGUGUAGAGGUGAAAUUCGUAGAUAUUCGGAGGAACACCAGUGGCGAAGGCGGCUUACUGGACUGUAACUGACACUGAGGCUCGAAAGCGUGGGGAGCAAACA
Molecule: ribosomal RNA, 405 nt
Filed under: uncultured bacterium
Lineage: Bacteria
Description: bacterial SSU rRNA
Rfam family: Bacterial small subunit ribosomal RNA
Source: RNAcentral